UAGGGAAUCUUGCGCAAUGGGCGAAAGCCUGACGCAGCCAUGCCGCGUGAAUGAUGAAGGUCUUAGGAUUGUAAAAUUCUUUCACCGGGGAAGAUAAUGACGGUACCCGGAGAAGAAGCCCCGGCUAACUUCGUGCCAGCAGCCGCGGUAAUACGAGGGGGGCUAGCGUUGCUCGGAAUUACUGGGCGUAAAGGGCGCGUAGGCGGAUAUUUAAGUUGGGGGUGAAAGCCCGGGGCUCAACCUCGGAAUAGCCUUCAAUACUGGAUAUCUUGAGUUCGGGAGAGGUGAGUGGAAUGCCGAGUGUAGAGGUGAAAUUCGUAGAUAUUCGGCGGAACACCAGUGGCGAAGGCGACUCACUGGCCCGAUACUGACGCUGAGGCGCGAAAGCGUGGGGAGCAAACAGGAUUAGAUACCCUGGUAGUCCACGCCGUAAAACGAUGAGUGCUAGUUGUCGGCAUGCAUGCAUGUCGGUGACGCAGCUAACGCAUUAAGCACUCCGCCUGGGGAGUACGGUCGCAAGAUUAAAAACUUAAAUG
This 536-nucleotide ribosomal RNA is filed under the name uncultured bacterium. RNAcentral describes it as "partial 16S ribosomal RNA". It matches the Rfam family "Bacterial small subunit ribosomal RNA", at positions 355 to 907 of the family's 1533-position model. The record is from RNAcentral.